AGAGUUGAUCCUAGCUUAGGAUGAACGCUGGCGGCGCGCCUAACACAUGCAAGUCGAACGAUUAAGACACCUUCGGGUGUGAAUAAAGUGGCGAACGGCUGAGUAACACGUGGGCAACCUACCCCUCUCUCUGGGAUUAGCCUCGAGAAAUCGUGGGUAAUACCGGAUACUCCGGAUCCAUCGCAUGGUGGAUCCGGGAAAGCUCCGACGGUGAGGGAUGGGCCCGCGGCCUGUUAGCUUGUUGGUGGGGUAACGGCCUACCAAGGCAAUUAUGGGUAGCUGGGUUGAGAGACCGACCAGCCAGAUUGGGACUGAGACACGGCCCAGACUCCUACGGGAGGCAGCAGUGGGGAAUCUUGCACAAUGGGCGAAAGCCUGAUGCAGCCGACGCCGCGUGCGGGAUGAAGGCCUUCGGGUUGUAAACCGCUUUCAGCAGGGACGAGGCGCAAGUGACGGUACCUGCAGAAGAAGCCCCGGCUAACUACGUGCCAGCAGCUGC
This 499-nucleotide ribosomal RNA is filed under the name uncultured bacterium. Its description in RNAcentral is "bacterial SSU rRNA". It matches the Rfam family "Bacterial small subunit ribosomal RNA", at positions 8 to 518 of the family's 1533-position model. The record is from RNAcentral.